UACAGAGGUCUCAAGCGUUGUUCGGAUUCAUUGGGCGUAAAGGGUGCGUAGGCGGCGUGGUAAGUCGGAUGUGAGAUCUCGGGGCUUAACUCCGAAACUGCAUUCGAUACUGCCGUGCUUGAGGACUGGAGAGGAGACUGGAAUUUACGGUGUAGCGGUGAAAUGCGUAGAUAUCGUAAGGAAGACCAGUGGCGAAGGCGGGUCUCUGGACAGUUCCUGACGCUGAGGCACGAAGGCCAGGGGAGCAAACGGG
This 253-nucleotide ribosomal RNA is filed under the name uncultured bacterium. RNAcentral's name for it is "partial 16S ribosomal RNA". It matches the Rfam family "Bacterial small subunit ribosomal RNA", at positions 524 to 776 of the family's 1533-position model. The record is from RNAcentral.